GUGGUGAGGUAUGCUGCAUGAAACACCUCUCUCAUGAUGUUAGGCUGAUGCAAAAGUAAUCACCGUUUUUGCCAUUAAAAAUAAUAGCAAAAACGGUGAUUCUUUUGCACCAACCUAUACGUUAUUGUAACAAAGUUGUAAAAUGUACCCACAGUUUACUUUUCUAC
Molecule: microRNA precursor, 167 nt
Filed under: Callithrix jacchus (white-tufted-ear marmoset)
Lineage: Eukaryota; Metazoa; Chordata; Mammalia; Primates; Cebidae
Description: microRNA cja-mir-548e precursor
Gene: cja-mir-548e
Source: miRBase by way of RNAcentral